This is a long non-coding RNA of Panonychus citri (citrus red mite), 956 nucleotides long. RefSeq lists it as uncharacterized. The record is from RefSeq and is a predicted model, not a curated record. The transcript has 3 exons. NCBI's taxonomy places the organism in Eukaryota, Metazoa, Arthropoda, Arachnida, Trombidiformes, Tetranychidae.
CCAUGUGGUUUGUUUUGGUUUAUCCUUUUGACUUUGUUUUCAUAAGAUGAUUGUCGCCGAUUAUGAUUAAUCUACAUCAUCCUGGUUAAUUUUAAUUAAAUUGCUCUUUGAUUAUAACCGACAAGAGGGAGAGAGAGAGAGAGAAGUGAUAAUUUUCUGUUACAUAAGGAAAGGGUGACCAAUAAUAAUAUUCUUUGGAUAAAAGUUUUUCUUCUAGAAUCUUCCUGUUCCUUUUUCCUGGAUUGAUGAUCCUUGGAUUAUGUUUAAACGGAUUGGAAAUUUGUAUGUUUGGCUUACUAAACCUUUAAUUUCCCGAUACGGUUUCUAUUCAUUGACGCCACUUUUUAUUGGAAUUGGUGCUACUUUUGAAUAUUUGUGUAUUCACAUGAAAAUCAAUGGUAUUUCAUAUUAUUCAGUAGAAAAGGAACGAUUUUUCAAGCAAGAAUAUCUUAAAUAUUUGAUUAUCCAUGAUCCGGACUAUAUUAAGGAUGCAAAAAUUUCGGGGAAAAUAUGAAAAGCCUAAACUUUCAGAUAUUUUGGAACCGCAGCCGCUCAAGGUCAGAAUCUACAGAGGAAUCAUAGGACUAGUAACAGCUAUCUUCGUGGUUUAUCAAUACGUACAAUUAGAAUACGAAAAAGUGUCGGUAGAUGAACUUUUCAAAGCGGGAAUGCACAGAUAUCACGAAGGUGUCUACGCUCGUGAUGAAUAUUUGGCCCAGUUAAUCAAGGACACAUCCGAAGACCGAUCCAAAGAUAAACAAGAAACAAAACAAUAGUCAACUUGGAAAGAAUCAAGUUUUACAAACAUAACUCUACGUGUUUAUUGAUAAUAAUACUUAAUUGUUGUUUAUUAUUAUUAUUAACAUGCUUUCUUUGUGAAAUCGUUUACAAUUAUGAUAAAAGGUUAUAAUUAAAUUGUAAUUAGUGGACAAUAAAUAUGAUAAUCAAUCAAUCAA